Molecule: ribosomal RNA, 264 nt
Filed under: uncultured archaeon
Lineage: Archaea
Description: partial 16S ribosomal RNA
Rfam family: Archaeal small subunit ribosomal RNA
Source: RNAcentral
AGUCACUGACAUUAGAUACCCGUGUAGUCCAGGGUGUAAACGCUGCAGACUUGGUGUUGGAGGCCCUUUGGGGGCAUUCAGUGCCGGAGAGAAGUUGUUAAGUCUGCUACUUGGGGAGUACGUCCGCAAGGAUGAAACUUAAAGGAAUUGGCGGGGGAGCACCGCAACGGGAGGAGCGUGCGGUUUAAUUGGAUUCAACACCGUAAACUCACCAGGGAAGACUGUUACAUGAAGGCCGAGAUGAAGACUCUGCUAGAUUUUCAG